ACCCAAUAGAUACCCGGGUAGUCCUGGCCGUAAAACGAUGUCGACUAGAUCGCAGUUCCUUCAACGGAAAUUGCGGUCGAAAGCAAAAAAAGUGCUAAGUCGACCGCCUGGGAAGUACGGUCGCAAGGCUAAAACUCAAAGAAAUUGACGGGGGCUCACACAAGCGGUGGAGCAUGUGGUUCAAUUCGAAGCAACGCGCAGAACCUUACCUGGGCUUGACAUGCUAGGAUUAUCCCUAUGAAAGUAGGGUAGGCCCUUGGGGUACAACUAGUACAGGUGCUGCAUGGCUGUCGUCAGCUCGUGUCGUGAGAUGUCGGGUUAAGUCCCUUAACGAGCGUAAACCUUUGCCCUUAGUUACUAACGGGUUAUGCCGAGGACUCUAAGGGGACUGCCGGUGUCAAACCGGAGGAAGGUGGAGAUGACGUCAAGUCCUCAUGGCCUUUAUGCCCGAGGGCCACACACGUGCUACAAUGGGGUGCACAGAGCGAACCGAGAGCGCAAGCUGGAGGAAAUCGCAUAAAUCACCCCCAGUUCAGAUUGGAGGCUGCAAC
RNAcentral lists this ribosomal RNA (551 nucleotides) under uncultured bacterium. RNAcentral's name for it is "bacterial SSU rRNA". It matches the Rfam family "Bacterial small subunit ribosomal RNA", at positions 772 to 1311 of the family's 1533-position model. The record is from RNAcentral.